UGAAUACGAGAUGCUACGGCGUCGAAGCAGUCUAUGUCAUACUUCCAAGAAAAGCUUGCACUGUCAUAAACAAAUAAUGCCUGUACCAUAACCGACACAGGUGGGUAGGUAGAGUAUACUAAGGGGCGCGAGAUAACUCUCUCUAAGGAACUCGGCAAAAUGACUCCGUAACUUCGGGAGAAGGAGUGCCUUAUUUAUAAGGUUGCAAUAACAAGAUCCAAGCAACUGUUUACCAAAAACACAGGUCUCCGCUAAGUCGUAAGACGAUGUAUGGGGGCUGACGCCUGCCCAGUGCCAGAAGGUUAAAGAAGUUGGUUAGCAUCCGCGAAGCUGAUAACUGAAGCCCUGGUGAACGGCGGCCGUAACGAUAACGGUCCUAAGGUAGCGAAAUUCCUUGUCGGGUAAGUUCCGACCCGCACGAAAGGCGUAAUGAUUUGGAUACUGUCUCGGAGAGGGGCUCGGUGAAAUAGACUUGUCUGUGAAGAUGCGGACUACCUGCACCAGGACAGAAAGACCCUAUGAAGCUUUACUGUAACCUGAAAUUGAAAUUGGACUUUACUUGCGCAGUAUAGGUGGGAGGCGUUGAGAAUAUUCUUGCGGAUUAUUGGAGCCAUCAGUGAGAUACCACUCUUGUAAUGUUAGAUUUCUAACUUUGUAUCAUUAUCUGGUCAAAGAACAGUUUCAGGCGGGCAGUUUGACUGGGGCGGUCGCCUCCUAAACGGUAACGGAGGCGCACAAAGGUUUCCUCUGAACGGGUAGAAAUCGUAUCUAGAGUGUAAAGGCAUAAGGAAGCUUGACUGUGAGACCUACAAGUCGAGCAGGGACGAAAGUCGGUCUUAGUGAUCUGACGGUGCUGAGUGGAAAGGCCGUCACUCAACGGAUAAAAGUUACUCUAAGGAUAACAGGCUGAUCUCCCCCAAGAGUUCACAUCGACGGGGAGGUUUGGCACCUCGAUGUCGGCUCAUCGCAUCCUGGGGCGGUAGUACGUCCCAAGGGUUGGGCUGUUCGCCCAUGAAAGCGGUACGCGAGCUGGGUUCAGAACGUCGUGAGACAGUUCGGUCCAUAUCCGGUGUAGGCGUUAGAAUAUUGAGAGGAGCCUUCUUUAGUACGAGAGGACCGAGAAGGACAUACCUCUGGUGUACCAGUUAUCGUGCCAACGGUAAACGCUGGGUAGCUAUGUGUGGAGUGGAUAACCGCUGAAAGCAUCUAAGUGGGAAGCCCACCUCAAGAUAAGUA
This 1236-nucleotide ribosomal RNA is filed under the name metagenome. RNAcentral describes it as "bacterial LSU rRNA". It matches the Rfam family "Bacterial large subunit ribosomal RNA", at positions 1564 to 2810 of the family's 2925-position model. The record is from RNAcentral.